UUCACGAAUGUUUGCCUAUUUCCUCCUUUUUUUGAAAACAGCGUUGGAGCUUUUGGGGAGUUUUCAAGAGGAAAUCAAGGGGUUCAUAGUGGUAAGUUUCUUAAGACUAACACUCGUGAAUAUGGUGAUUUUCAAUUUUUUAUGCAUAAAAUUGGUAGAAAUUAGGGAUGAAAUUUAGGGGUUAGGGCUUGGUAAUUGGACUAGUUCGAGGUAAGUAAUGAUUGUAAAUCUUGUAUUAAGGGUAUGAAACUCCGGAUUUCACAUCGUUUCAAAAAAUUGAGGAAUGCACAUGCUAGAUAACGAGCGUGUGGGUGUGCACCGUUGGGGAUUGUUACUUGGUCCGUCUCGUAGCAACUAUUAAGUUGUGUAUUUCAAUGGAAACUAUGUGAUACUUAUGUGCUUUAGCAAGAAUUUCUAUGAUUUGGGCUGAAUCCUAAGUUGUUUGGACCCUUUUUCUUAUUCUUUCCUCACUAUUUUGAAUUAAGAUCUGUACUUAGUCAUGCUAUGCUUUACUGAUUUCAUAACUUAGUCUAUAUUGCUACAUUUUGAUGCAUAAAAUAAUAUUUUUGGGUUGAGCACUCUAUUUUACUAAUAGCUCGAGUGGCUUUAUAGGUUUCUGACUAAAUGAGGUCAAGGGCCUGUGUCAUGAGGAUAUUAUAGGAUCAGGAUACGCGCCGCAACACGUCGUUAUUGAUUUGUGAUUCUUGAGAGACCAAUGGCCUGAUUGAUUAUACCACGAGGUGGCUUGUUAUAGUGCUUGGGCUGUAGCAGCCCCUCCGGAGUCUUCACUCCCCCAGUGAGCAUGAAUAUCAUGAGUG
This 818-nucleotide long non-coding RNA is filed under the name Nicotiana benthamiana. RNAcentral's name for it is "long non-coding RNA (NBEN_LNC042680)". The record is from RNAcentral. Lineage: Eukaryota; Viridiplantae; Streptophyta; Magnoliopsida; Solanales; Solanaceae.